GGGACUGGUUUCAGGAUUCUCCUUCAAAAUCUGUGAAUGUGAGAGCCCCUAUAUAAAAUAGCAGAGGAUUUGUACAUAACCUACACACAUCCUCCACUACACUUUAAAUCAUCUCUAGAUUAUUUAUAAUACCUAAUACAGUGUAAAUACUAUACAAAUAGUUGUUACACAUUAUUGUUAUUUGCAUUAUUUUUAUUGUUGCAUUGUUAUUUUUUAUUGGAUUUUUUUCCAAAUAUUUUUGAUCUGCAGCUGGUUGAAUUCAAGCAUGCAAAACCCAUGGGUAUAGAAGGCCAACUGUAAUAAUUUUGUCUGCUCCAUGAAGAAUAACGAAUAGACUCAAAGGGAUAAUCAAAGAAGCAGCAAGACCACUUAGGAAGCUCCUGCAAUCAUCCAGGAGAUUAUUUUAAACUUGAUGGAUCAAUCCUCUUAAGGAUAACGAAUUUGGAUUUGCAAGAAUUCAAGGCAAUUCCGGGCCCAGCUUUUUGGAGGUAAAUCCACUGAGCCGGUGUGUACCUCACAAUAAAUAUCCUCCUGUAUUCACGCAUACUGGUCUCUCUAAUCCUCUGCGUCCCGCAACAAGCUGAGAGCGCGCCACUGCACUUGCAGUCUUGCACAUAGCAAGACUAUGUCUCAACAACAACAAAAAAGGUACAUAAGACAAUGGCAGACAAUAAUUGCUUCUGGGAGAAGAUAAGGGAAAAUAAAAAAGAAAGAGAUAUACUUUACACUUAAAGCCUUUGGCAUGGCUGGGUGCGGUGGCUCACACCUGUAAUCCCAGCACUUUGGGAGGCCGAGGCGGGCAGAUCACCUCACGUCAG
Molecule: long non-coding RNA, 818 nt
Filed under: Homo sapiens (human)
Lineage: Eukaryota; Metazoa; Chordata; Mammalia; Primates; Hominidae
Description: HSALNT0354234
Source: RNAcentral